This 438-nucleotide ribosomal RNA is filed under the name uncultured bacterium. Its description in RNAcentral is "partial 16S ribosomal RNA". It matches the Rfam family "Bacterial small subunit ribosomal RNA", at positions 29 to 507 of the family's 1533-position model. The record is from RNAcentral.
AACGAACGCUGGCGGCAUGCCUAACACAUGCAAGUCGAACGAGACCUUCGGGUCUAGUGGCGCACGGGUGCGUAACGCGUGGGAACCUGCCCUUAGGUUCGGAAUAACUCCCCGAAAGGGGUGCUAAUACCGGAUAAUGUCUUCGGACCAAAGAUUUAUCGCCUGUGGAUGGGCCCGCGUUGGGUUAGCUAGUUGGUGGGGUAAAGGCCUACCAAGGCGACGAUCGAUAGCUGGUCUGAGAGGAUGAUGGGCCACACUGGGACUGAGAUACGGCCCAGACUCCUACGGGAGGCAGCAGUGGGGAAUAGUGGACAAUGGGCGGAAGCCUGAUGCAGCAACGCCGCGUGCGGGAUGACGGCCUUCGGGUUGUAAACCGCUUUCGCCUGUGACGAAGCGUGAGUGACGGUAAUGGGUAAAGAAGCACCGGCUAACUACGUG